CCUUUGAUAGCUCAGUUGGUAGAGCGGAGGACUGUAGGAAGGUGAGAAUCAGCCAUCCUUAGGUCGCUGGUUCGAAUCCGGCUCAAAGGA
This 90-nucleotide transfer RNA is filed under the name Tupaia belangeri chinensis (Chinese tree shrew). RNAcentral's name for it is "Tupaia chinensis (Chinese tree shrew) tRNA". It matches the Rfam family "tRNA". From Rfam's summary of the family: Transfer RNA (tRNA) molecules are approximately 80 nucleotides in length. Their secondary structure includes four short double-helical elements and three loops (D, anti-codon, and T loops). Lineage: Eukaryota; Metazoa; Chordata; Mammalia; Scandentia; Tupaiidae. The record is from Rfam by way of RNAcentral.